Molecule: transfer RNA, 75 nt
Filed under: Candidatus Saccharibacteria bacterium CG2_30_41_52
Lineage: Bacteria; Candidatus Saccharimonadota
Also listed under: 5 other names
Description: tRNA-Asn
Rfam family: tRNA
About the family: Transfer RNA (tRNA) molecules are approximately 80 nucleotides in length.
Source: RNAcentral
UCCGACGUAGCUCAAUGGUGGAGCAAGAAGCUGUUAACUUCGAGGUUACUGGUUCGAGUCCAGUCGUCGGAGCCA